ACCAGACUCCUACGGGAGGCAGCAGUGGGGAACACAGCACAAUGGGGGGAACCCUGAUGCAGCGACGCCGCGUGGGAGAAGGAGUAGUUCGGGAUGUAAAGCCCUAUCAGCAGGGAAGAACAAUGACGGGACCUGACUAAGAAGCACCGGCUAAAUACGUGCCAGCAGCCGCGGUAAUACGUAUGGUGCAAGCGUUAUCCGGAUUUACUGGGUGUAAAGGGAGCGCAGGCGGCGCGUUAAGCCUGGUGUGAAAGCCCGCGGCCCAACCGCGGGACUGCAUUGGGAACUGGCGCGCUGGAGUGCCGGAGGGGUAGGCGGAAUUCCUAGUGUAGCGGUGAAAUGCGUAGAUAUUAGGAGGAACACCAGUGGCGGAGGCGGCCUACUGGACGGUGACUGACGCUGAGGCUCGAAAGCGUGGGGAGCAAACAGGAUUAGAUACCCCUGUA
This 446-nucleotide ribosomal RNA is filed under the name uncultured bacterium. Its description in RNAcentral is "bacterial SSU rRNA". It matches the Rfam family "Bacterial small subunit ribosomal RNA", at positions 330 to 792 of the family's 1533-position model. The record is from RNAcentral.